UGCUUGACUAAUCAUAGUGCCCUUAGAGCCUUAUCCACUUGUAUCUUCUCUCCCCCACUCUCCUCAUCAAAUCCUUCAGUUCACGGACUCACUCACGUCGGAGACGACGCUAUCGGAGGUCAGAGUCGGACAGUUCCUCCUGCCAAUCUUCCACAGAGGACAGACACCAUCUGCAAAAAUCUGUGGUGCAUCAGGCAUUAGGAGACCUCACAGCUGUAGUUGAGGACACCAAUGGAGUGCUUGACCAAAUGGACAUGAAGUGGACACCUGCAACCAAAUCAGUGUGUAAAACGGCUCCAAAAUAUCGCUCCAUCCUCUCAACUGCCACCGAGGAAAUCUUGAUUGAUUUUGUCAUCAAAACCUGGAAGUGAGGUUUUACACAGAAAAGGGUCCCAGCAUUUACCGAGCCAGACCGAUGGUCCGCACGAUUACGAUUCUGGGAAUGACACAUCUUCGCCACCAUCAAGCAAAACUGGUGUUUCUCGGGCGAGUGUCACUGACAACAAGAGGAACCACUGUAAACUGGCCUCGCCAGACAAGCUGAAAUUCGCUGACAGAGACAAUAUCUCUGAUUCAGGAAACUCUGUUACAAGCUACGCUUCUUUGUGCAAACCUUACGGGGAGGACGGCUUGUCUGCAACCCUUUUCAGUGGGAACAGCAAGAGAGAGCAGAUAACUUUGGGGUGUCAUGUAGAGGUUACGAGAUCUCCAAAGGCCUCCAGCUGUUCACAGAGGAUGAGCAAAUCAUCUCGAAGGCGGCUAAAAACCCGGUCAUCCAGCAGCCGGAGCAGGAGCAGGUCCUCAGGAAGUUCCAGAUACUCCGGACGUUACACUCGAAGCCUGUCCCCAUCAUCUUGCAGCUCAUAUUCACGCUCACCAAGUUAUUCAUCUGAUUUGAGCCGACGAGGCAGCGUGGCCAGCCUGAGCUCUAGAGGAAGCUACUCCCGAUACAAGGCUGACAGGUAAACUUUACAGUGUU
Scatophagus argus is the source of this 979-nucleotide RNA transcript. It is a transcript of the gene named serine/arginine repetitive matrix protein 4-like, with no coding region annotated. The transcript is spliced from 6 exons. NCBI's taxonomy places the organism in Eukaryota, Metazoa, Chordata, Actinopteri, Scatophagidae. The record is from RefSeq and is a predicted model, not a curated record.